This is a long non-coding RNA of Hordeum vulgare subsp. vulgare (domesticated barley), 723 nucleotides long. RefSeq lists it as uncharacterized. The transcript has 2 exons. NCBI's taxonomy places the organism in Eukaryota, Viridiplantae, Streptophyta, Magnoliopsida, Poales, Poaceae. The record is from RefSeq and is a predicted model, not a curated record.
CAAGAGGAAUAUUCUUUGGAACUCAAUUGACUCUUACACAUGUUUAGCACUUCAUUUCAAUGUGCAAUCCUUGCUUUGAUUUGUCUCAUAACCACAUUGAGCCCUGGCUUGAACCAACUUGUAUUAUACAGUACCACCUCUUACUGUAUUGCUGAAACAUCAGUCUUGAUAGUCGCCACCAAUAGUAAUAUCCCUGUAUCUCGGUGCUCCUGUAGUUUGCACAUUCAGUCUCACCAGUAUUGUUGAGCUAUUUGCCUGUAUAGAGAGUCAUAUGAGUUGCUUCCCUACAAGAGAGAAGAAUUCAAAAAGGGAGAGAGUAGAGAAGAAGGAAAAUGAGAGGGUGGUGGGGUCGUGCGGACACUUUGGACGGUGAGGCAUAACUCGAAGUUUCUCUGAUGGCCGACAGCGAGGUUUGACAGCGAGGUGUGCUAUUUUCGGGUCCUUUCCGGUCCACAGAACCUGAUCUGAGUUAAGAAGUCCUCUUCCCUCCACUAUCAACUUGUAAUAGCUGUUGUCAAAUUUCGGAGGGCUGGCAAAAUCUAGCGGGGUGAUGUUGUUAUCACCUCCAGUGCGUGGGCAGACUGAUGCCAGUUUGUGAUAGAACCUUUUCUCCAGUGUCAUGUCCGGUUUGUUAUCUCUAUGCUGAUUGUAGUGGCACAUUUACAAUGGCAAGAUUUUUGAACAAUUACAGUGGCGUAUUUCAUAAGCAAGAUUUUUGUACAA